UCUUGUUUGUGAAUAUUGGUGACACUCUUCAUGCCAGCAUGAAUGGAAGGGAGAGACUCAGCUCCCAGGUGCUAUCUGCAGUGGCCCUGAUGAGUCCCUUUUUCAUAUCUAUUUAAGAAGUAUCAAGUAUUAUGAUGGCUAACAUUAUGUUUAAAGCUUAAGUUACUACACUUAAAAGAUCUAUAAAGCAAACAUUUCCUCUACCCUCUAAAAGCUGUACCAGUGAGAAAGGGACCCUGUUAGCCAGCUUGCUUAAGAAUGACUAGAAUGCCUGUGGUUUUUCUUGUAAUUAUCUAGUCUUUUACAAUUUUAAAUAUAUCUGUCCAUUAUUCAAUGUAGCCUCCCCCAGCUUUGAGCAGGCUGGCUCAGACCUGUUCUGGCACCUCCUAGGGUGGAGUCUUCUGACCUAGAUAGGUCUAUUGUUCUGCCAAGACUGCCGGCCACUACUGCUGAGAGGCUGAGAGGCAGAAUCUGUCUUCCUGAGAUAAGCAACAGCCAGGCAACUAAGUGCUGACAACCUGGACCAAGUGCUGACAGGCUGGUGACAAAGCAUCAAGAACCUGGUGUGGCGGGGGAUGGGCCUUCCCCCUUUAUAAGCUCAGACUCUUAGUAAACUAGGGGGGGAGGAGGGUGCGUGGGGGUUGAUCAGAAUUUUGUCUUGGUCUCGUUAUUCCUUCCGCUGUUUCCUCCCAUGCAGCUCCAGCCUCCCAUUCAGGAACCUGAUUCAUGUAGCUGCGGGCGGCUACAAUUCAAGAUAAUGGUCACUAUGCUAACUGUGUGUUUCUGCUUCUGUAAAUAAGCUUGCUUGCUCAAGAUAGCCGAUGACAUCUGUUUGCUAACUGAGCCCCUGCUUACAGGCAGAAUCCUUGCAUGUAGAUAGGAUAUGUGCCACUCCCCACCCCAGAAAGGCUGCAUCUUGAGAAUCCCGACUUUCUGGCGCAAUCCUGGUGCCAAUCUCAAUAAAGCUUCUUCUUUAAAGUUACUCAUGGUCAGAUUGGUGAAUCUCUGAACAACCUGAGACCUGAUGCUUUUUAUCAAAAUUAUA
Molecule: long non-coding RNA, 1045 nt
Filed under: Mus musculus (house mouse)
Lineage: Eukaryota; Metazoa; Chordata; Mammalia; Rodentia; Muridae
Description: long non-coding RNA chr2:129420598-129421643
Source: RNAcentral